RNAcentral lists this ribosomal RNA (449 nucleotides) under uncultured bacterium. RNAcentral's name for it is "partial 16S ribosomal RNA". It matches the Rfam family "Bacterial small subunit ribosomal RNA", at positions 29 to 523 of the family's 1533-position model. The record is from RNAcentral.
AACGAACGCUGGCGGCAUGCCUAACACAUGCAAGUCGAACGAGAUCUUCGGGUCUAGUGGCGCACGGGUGCGUAACGCGUGGGAAUCUGCCCUUUGGUUCGGAAUAACAGUUGGAAACGACUGCUAAUCCCGGAUGAUGACGAAAGUCCAAAGAUUUAUCGCCAGAGGAUGAGCCCGCGUAGGAUGAGCUAGUUGGUGUGGUAAAGGCGCACCAAGGCGACGAUCCUUAGCUGGUCUGAGAGAAUGAUCAGCCACACUGGGACUGAGACACGGCCCAGACUCCUACGGUAGGCAGCAGUGGGGAAUAUUGGACAAUGGGCGAAAGCCUGAUCCAGCAAUGCCUCGUGAGUGAUGAAGGCCUUAGGGUUGUAAAGCUCUUUUACCCGGGAUGAUAAUGACAGUACCGGGAGAAUAAGCUCCGGCUAACUCCGUGCCAGCAGCCGCGGUAA